UGGGGAAUAUUGGACAAUGGGCGCAAGCCUGAUCCAGCCAUGCCGCGUGAGUGAUGAAGGGCCCUAGGGUUGUAAAGCUCUUUCGCCAGGGACGAUAAUGACGGUACCUGGAUAAGAAGCCCCGGCUAACUUCGUGCCAGCAGCCGCGGUAAUACGAAGGGGGCUAGCGUUGUUCGGAAUCACUGGGCGUAAAGCGCACGUAGGCGGAUCUUUAAGUCAGGGGUGAAAUCCCGAGGCUCAACCUCGGAACUGCCUUUGAUACUGGAGGUCUCGAGUCCGGGAGAGGUGAGUGGAACUGCGAGUGUAGAGGUGAAAUUCGUAGAUAUUCGCAAGAACACCAGUGGCGAAGGCGGCUCACUGGCCCGGUACUGACGCCGAGGUGCGAAAAGCGUGGGGAGCAAACAGGAUUAGAUACCCUGGUAGUCCACGCCGUAAAACUAUGGAUGCUAGCCGUUGGGCAGCUUGCUGUUCAGUGGCGCAGCUAACGCUUUAAGCAUCCCGCCUGGGGAGUACGGUCGCAAGAUUAAAACUCAAAUGAAUUGACGGGGUCAUAGCUGUUUCCU
Molecule: ribosomal RNA, 563 nt
Filed under: uncultured bacterium
Lineage: Bacteria
Description: partial 16S ribosomal RNA
Rfam family: Bacterial small subunit ribosomal RNA
Source: RNAcentral